GGCUCAGUGGCUUAGUGGGUAGGGCAUUGGCCCCAUAUGCCGAGGGUGCUGGGUUCGAACCCGGCCCCUGCCA
Molecule: transfer RNA, 73 nt
Filed under: Otolemur garnettii (small-eared galago)
Lineage: Eukaryota; Metazoa; Chordata; Mammalia; Primates; Galagidae
Rfam family: tRNA
About the family: Transfer RNA (tRNA) molecules are approximately 80 nucleotides in length. Their secondary structure includes four short double-helical elements and three loops (D, anti-codon, and T loops). Further hydrogen bonds mediate the characteristic L-shaped molecular structure. tRNAs have two regions of fundamental functional importance: the anti-codon, which is responsible for specific mRNA codon recognition, and the 3' end, to which the tRNAs corresponding amino acid is attached (by aminoacyl-tRNA synthetases). tRNAs cope with the degeneracy of the genetic code in two manners: having more than one tRNA (with a specific anti-codon) for a particular amino acid; and 'wobble' base-pairing, i.e. permitting non-standard base-pairing at the 3rd anti-codon position.
Source: Rfam by way of RNAcentral